RNAcentral lists this ribosomal RNA (373 nucleotides) under uncultured organism. RNAcentral's name for it is "partial 16S ribosomal RNA". It matches the Rfam family "Bacterial small subunit ribosomal RNA", at positions 527 to 896 of the family's 1533-position model. The record is from RNAcentral.
GUAGGUGGCAAGCGUUGUCCGGAAUUAUUGGGCGUAAAGCGCGCGCAGGUGGUUCUUUAAGUCUGAUGUGAAAGCCCCCGGGCUCAGCCGGGGAGGGUCAUUGGAAACUGGGGAACUUGAGUGCAGGAGAGGAAAGUGGGAUUCCACGUGUAGCGGUGAAAUGCGUUGAUAUGUGGAGGAACACCAGUGGCGAAGGCGACUUUCUGGCCUGUAACUGACACUGAGGCGCGAAAGCGUGGGGAGCAAACAGGAUUAGAUACCCUGGUAGUCCACGCCGUAAACGAUGAGUGCUAAGUGUUGGGGGGUUUCCGCCCCUCAGUGCUGCAGCUAACGCAUUAAGCACUCCGCCUGGGGAGUACGGCCGCAAAGACUG